GCUCUCUCAACUCUGCACAAUUGCAUCUUUGUCUGUGGUGUAAUUGACGUAAAUCGGGAGAGAAAGUAAGAGAGUCCGAAAUUGACAGCGGGAGAACUUCUUUUGUGGUCCUCCCAUUGCGUUUUUGGAACUCGACAGCA
Small nucleolar RNA from Erpetoichthys calabaricus (reedfish), 140 nucleotides. Ensembl annotates it as small nucleolar RNA, H/ACA box 10. Its record names the gene SNORA10. The record is from Ensembl. Lineage: Eukaryota; Metazoa; Chordata; Cladistia; Polypteriformes; Polypteridae.